RNAcentral lists this ribosomal RNA (492 nucleotides) under uncultured bacterium. Its description in RNAcentral is "partial 16S ribosomal RNA". It matches the Rfam family "Bacterial small subunit ribosomal RNA", at positions 29 to 507 of the family's 1533-position model. The record is from RNAcentral.
AGUGAACGCUGGCGGUAGGCCUAACACAUGCAAGUCGAACGGCAGCACAGUAAGAGCUUGCUCUUACGGGUGGCGAGUGGCGGACGGGUGAGGAAUACAUCGGAAUCUACUUUUUCGUGGGGGAUAACGUAGGUAAACUUACGCUAAUACCGCAUACGACCUACGGGUGAAAGCAGGGGAUCUUCGGACCUUGCGCGAUUGAAUGAGCCGAUGUCGGAUUAGCUAGUUGGCGGGGUAAAGGCCCACCAAGGCGACGAUCCGUAGCUGGUCUGAGAGGAUGAUCAGCCACACUGGAAGUGGGACACGGUCCAGACUCCUACGGGAGGCAGCAGUGGGGAAUAUUGGACAAUGGGCGCAAGCCUGAUCCAGCCAUACCGCGUGGGUGAAGAAGGCCUUCGGGUUGUAAAGCCCUUUUGUUGGGAAAGAAAAGCAGCAGGUUAAUACCCCGCUGUUCUGACGGUACCCAAAGAAUAAGCACCGGCUAACUUCGUG